Molecule: ribosomal RNA, 444 nt
Filed under: uncultured bacterium
Lineage: Bacteria
Description: bacterial SSU rRNA
Rfam family: Bacterial small subunit ribosomal RNA
Source: RNAcentral
UCCAGACUCCUACGGGAGGCAGCAGUGAGGAAUAUUGGUCAAUGGGCGCGAGCCUGAACCAGCCAAGUCGCGUGAGGGAAGACGGUCUUCGGAUUGUAAACCUCUGUCUUUGGGGAAGAAAAUGACGGUACCCAAAGAGGAAGCUCCGGCUAACCACGUGCCAGCAGCCGCGGUAAUACGUAGGGAGCGAGCGUUGUCCGGAAUUACUGGGUGUAAAGGGAGCGUAGGCGGGCGAGAAAGUUGAAUGUUAAAUCUACCGGCUUAACUGGUAGCUGCGUUCAAAACUUCUUGUCUUGAGUGAAGUAGAGGCAGGCGGAAUUCCUAGUGUAGCGGUGAAAUGCGUAGAUAUUAGGAGGAACACCAGUGGCGAAGGCGGCCUGCUGGGCUUUAACUGACGCUGAGGCUCGAAAGCGUGGGGAGCAAACAGGAUUAGAUACCCCUGUA